This 74-nucleotide transfer RNA is filed under the name Candidatus Omnitrophota bacterium. RNAcentral describes it as "Candidatus Omnitrophica bacterium (sediment metagenome) tRNA-Val". It matches the Rfam family "tRNA". Rfam says of the family: Transfer RNA (tRNA) molecules are approximately 80 nucleotides in length. Their secondary structure includes four short double-helical elements and three loops (D, anti-codon, and T loops). The record is from RNAcentral. Lineage: Bacteria; Pseudomonadati; Candidatus Omnitrophota.
GCCCCGGUAGCUUAAGCGGAUAAAGCCCUUUCCUCACGAAAAAGGCGAUGCCGGUUCGAAUCCGGCCCGGGGCG